UGGGGUGAAUGCAGGCUUUUCCUGAAGCCUGGAGAGCAAGAGGGGUCGGUGCGCACCGACUCCUCUCGCUCUCCAGGCUUCAGGAAGCUCUGCGCAACCCUA
This is a non-coding RNA of Podarcis lilfordi (Lilford's wall lizard), 102 nucleotides long. The record is from the annotation of a GenBank genome assembly. Lineage: Eukaryota; Metazoa; Chordata; Lepidosauria; Squamata; Lacertidae.